UACGAAGGGGGCUAGCGUUGUUCGGAAUUACUGGGCGUAAAGCGCACGUAGGCGGAUUUGUUAGUCAGGGGUGAAAUCCCGGGGCUCAACCUCGGAACUGCCUUUGAUACUGCAAGUCUCGAGUCCGGAAGAGGUGAGUGGAAUUCCUAGUGUAGAGGUGAAAUUCGUAGAUAUUAGGAAGAACACCAGUGGCGAAGGCGGCUCACUGGUCCGGUACUGACGCUGAGGUGCGAAAGCGUGGGGAGCAAACAGG
This 253-nucleotide ribosomal RNA is filed under the name uncultured bacterium. Its description in RNAcentral is "partial 16S ribosomal RNA". It matches the Rfam family "Bacterial small subunit ribosomal RNA", at positions 524 to 776 of the family's 1533-position model. The record is from RNAcentral.